Dreissena polymorpha is the source of this 854-nucleotide long non-coding RNA. RefSeq lists it as uncharacterized. The transcript is spliced from 4 exons. NCBI's taxonomy places the organism in Eukaryota, Metazoa, Mollusca, Bivalvia, Myida, Dreissenidae. The record is from RefSeq and is a predicted model, not a curated record.
CUUUUUAUGUCCCCCACUAUAGUAGUGGGGGACAUAUUGUUUUUGCCCUGUCUGUUGGUCUGUCUGUUGGUCUGUCUGUUUGCGCCAACUUUAACAUUUUGCAAUAACUUUUGCUAUAUUGAAGAUAGCAACUUCAUAUUUGGCAUGCAUGUGUAUCUCAUGAAGCUGCACAUUUUGAGUGGUGAAAGGUCAAGGUCAUCCUUCAAGGUCAGAGGUCAAAUAUAUGUGGCCAAAAUCGCUCAUUUUAUGAAUACUUUUGCAAUAUUGAAGAUAGCAACUUGAUAUUUGGCAUGCAUGUGUAUCUCAUGGAGCUGCACAUUUUGAGUGGUGAAAGGUCAAGGUCAAGGUCAUCCUUCAAGGUCAGAGGUCAAAUAUAUGUGGCCCAAAUCGCUUAUUUUAUGAAUACUUUUGCAAUAUUGAAGAUAGCAACUUGAUAUUUGGCAUGCAUGUGUAUCUCAUGGAGCUGCACAUUUUGAGUGGUGAAAGGUCAAGGUCAAGGUCAUCCUUCAAGGUCAGAGGUCAAUUAUAUGUGGCCAAAAUCGCUCAUUUUAUGAAUACUUUUGCAAUAUUGAAGAUAGCAACUUGAUAUUUGGCAUGCAUGUGCAUCUCAUGGAGCUGCUCAUUUUGAGUGGUGAAAGGUCAAGGUCAUCCUUCAAGGUCAGAGGUCAAAUAUAUGUGGCCCAAAUCGCUUAUUUUAUGAAUACUUUUGCAAUAUUGAAGAUAGCAACUUGAUAUUUGGCAUGCAUGUGUAUCUCAUGGAGCUGCACAUUUUGAGUGGUGAAAGGUCAAGGUCAAGGUCAUCCUUCACAAGGUCAAUGUCAAACAUCAUAUAGGGGGACAUUGUGUUUCACAAA